Drosophila montana is the source of this 438-nucleotide long non-coding RNA. RefSeq lists it as uncharacterized. The transcript is spliced from 3 exons. The record is from RefSeq and is a predicted model, not a curated record. NCBI's taxonomy places the organism in Eukaryota, Metazoa, Arthropoda, Insecta, Diptera, Drosophilidae.
UCAUUUUUGUGUUAGUGAAUAAAAUAAUUUUAUAAAAAUAAUAAACAAAACGCGAUGAGCUCGUGCCGUGUGUGUGUUAAUAGCUUUUAAUAUACGUACUUGCAACCAGGCGAGGCUUAUACUAAAAAAAUUAUGUAUGUGACAUACCCUCACAGAAAUAUUUACAUUUUAAUGUGCACCAAGUUUUUUUACCGGUAUUACUUAUGUUAAAGUUAUAGUUUAAUUCAUUUAAAUUAUAAUAUCAAACAGAAAAAAUGGCCUAAGCAGCACCAGGUAAAUCCAGAUCCCAAAACACGAAUUUAAACGAGGAAUUUAAGAAAUGGAACUCGUCAAAAUAAAUGAACAUUGGAUGGAAUAAGUUUUACAAUAAUUAGGAAAUCACGACACCAGUCGGAAAAUAUGUCAGAGUACUGAGAUGUUCUAAAUGCAGAUCUGGCA